ACCCUUCCUGGGAUAGCUCAGAUGGUAGAGCAUGAGACUCUUAAUCUCAGGGUUGUGGGUUUGAGCCCCACGUUGGGCA
RNAcentral lists this transfer RNA (79 nucleotides) under Podarcis lilfordi (Lilford's wall lizard). RNAcentral's name for it is "tRNA.Lys". The stretch from base 14 to 71 matches the Rfam family "tRNA", at positions 8 to 63 of the family's 71-position model. Rfam says of the family: Transfer RNA (tRNA) molecules are approximately 80 nucleotides in length. Their secondary structure includes four short double-helical elements and three loops (D, anti-codon, and T loops). Lineage: Eukaryota; Metazoa; Chordata; Lepidosauria; Squamata; Lacertidae. The record is from RNAcentral.